CAGAGGGUGCAAACGUUGCUCGGAAUUACUGGGCGUAAAGCGCGUGUAGGCGGGUCGGUAUGUCGGACGUGAAAUCCCUAGGCUCAACCUAGGAACUGCGCUCGAAACUGCCGGUCUUGAGUGGUGGAGAGGGAAGUGGAAUUCCUGGUGUAGAGGUGAAAUUCGUAGAUAUCAGGAGGAACACCAGUGGCGAAGGCGGCUUCCUGGACACCAACUGACGCUGAGACGCGAAAGCGUGGGGAGCAAACAGGAUUAGAUACCCUGGUAGUCCACGCUGUAAACGAUGGGCACUAGGUGUCGCGGGUUUUGACCCCCGCGGUGCCGUAGCAAACGCGUUAAGUGCCCCGCCUGGGGAGUACGGCCGCAAGGCUA
RNAcentral lists this ribosomal RNA (372 nucleotides) under uncultured organism. RNAcentral describes it as "bacterial SSU rRNA". It matches the Rfam family "Bacterial small subunit ribosomal RNA", at positions 526 to 896 of the family's 1533-position model. The record is from RNAcentral.